This 2248-nucleotide long non-coding RNA is filed under the name Homo sapiens (human). Its description in RNAcentral is "novel transcript". Lineage: Eukaryota; Metazoa; Chordata; Mammalia; Primates; Hominidae. The record is from RNAcentral.
ACAGUCGCCAUGACGACCGGGAGGUCCGCUCGUCAACGGCUAGUCAACGGCUGCGGGGACAAGUCCGUUGAGGCUGCCAGGCGAGUCAGGCCUUUCUGGACCUCGCCUGACUCGGAUGGGCUGUGCCUGAAAUUGACCCAGCUCCACUAGGGAUUAUGAAGAAACAAGGAGUAAACCCAAAGCCGCUGCAAUCUUCCCGCCCCAGCCCGUCUAAGCGGCCGUACGGGGCCUCCCCCGCCCGGGAGCUGGAGGUGGAAAAGUCGGCCCUAGGCGGCGGGAAACUGCCAGGGGGCGCCAGGAGGUCCUCCCCGGGGAGGAUCCCAAAUCUGAAAAAGCGAAAAGGCUUGGAGCUAAAGGUGGUGGCCAAGACCCUUCUCGACCCCUUCCAGUUCGUCCGUAAUUCCCUGGCGCAGCUCCGGGAAGAGGUGCACGAACUGCAGGCGCGGUGGUUCCCCAGCAGAACCACUCUCAGCAUCGGGACUUUAUUAUUCCUACUUCAAGACCAUCAUUGAAGCACCUUCAUUUUUGGAAGGACUGUGGAUGAUUAUGAAUGACAGGCUUACUGAAUAUCCUCUUGUAAUUAAUACAGUAAAACGCUUCCAUCUUUAUCCAGAGGAUUGGGAGAUCCUGCUUGCUUUUAUGUUGGUGUAAUCUUUAUUUUAAAUGGACUAAUGAUGGGAUUGUUCUUCAUGUAUGGAGCAUACCUGAGUGGGACUCAACUGGGAGGUCUUAUUACAGUACUGUGCUUCUUUUUCAACCAUGGAGAGGUUUGUUUUCUAGAAAGCAAUUUUUAAGAAAUAGAAGAGGCUGUAGAGGAACAAGGAAAUAUACUCAUCAAAACAAUAUUUAAUUGUAUACUACUUAUGACUUCACAAUAUUUUAAAGACCCUCGUGUUGACCUCAAGCAAUGAUAGAAGGCCCUUCAUUGCACUCUGUCUUUCCAAUGUUGCUUUUAUGCUUCCCUGGCAAUUUGCUCAGUUUAUACUUUUUACACAGAUAGCAUCAUUAUUUCCCAUGUAUGUUGUGGGAUACAUUGAACCAAGCAAAUUUCAGAAGAUCAUUUAUAUGAACAUGAUUUCAGUUACCCUUAGUUUCAUUUUGAUGUUUGGAAAUUCAAUGUACUUAUCUUCUUCUUAUUCUUCAUCUUUGUUAAUGACGUGGGCAAUAAUUCUAAAGAGAAAUGAAAUUCAAAAACUGGGAGUAUCUAAACUCAACUUUUGGCUAAUUCAAGGUAGUGCCUGGUGGUGUGGAACAAUCAUUUUGAAAUUUCUGACAUCUAAAAUCUUAGGCGUUUCAGACCACAUUCGCCUGAGUGAUCUUAUAGCAGCCAGAAUCUUAAGGUAUACAGAUUUUGAUACUUUAAUAUACACCUGUGCUCCCGAAUUUGACUUCAUGGAAAAAGCGACUCCACUGAGAUACACAAAGACAUUAUUGCUUCCAGUUGUUAUGGUGAUUACAUGUUUUAUCUUUAAAAAGACUGUUCGUGAUAUUUCGUGUGUUUUAGCUACAAACAUUUAUCUAAGAAAACAGCUCCUUGAACACAGUGAGCUGGCUUUUCACACAUUGCAGUUGUUAGCGUUUACUGCCCUUGCCAUUUUAAUUAUGAGGCUAAAGAUGUUUUUGACGCUGCACAUGUGUGUUAUGGCUUCCUUGAUAUGCUCUCGACAGAUGCUGUCUUCGCAGGUGCCAUGCCUACAAUGGCAAGCGUCAAGCUGUCUACACUUCAUCCCAUUGUGAAUCAUCCACUUUACGAAGAUGCAGACUUGAGGCCUGGUUGCAGUAUGCUUGAAAUCUGUGAUGUGGAAGACCCUUCCAAUGCAGCUAACCCUCCCUUAUGUAGCGUCCUGCUCAAAGAUGCCAGGCCUUACUUCACCACAGUAUUUCAGAAUAGUGUGUACAGAGUAUUGAGGGUUAACUGAGAAGGAAACUACCCAUUACACUAUGGCACAAUGUGGUGUGUCAAAAACAAUCACCCUUUGGCUUAUUUACAUUAAUAAAAAUCACAAGCUUUAAUAACAGACACUUAAAAAUAAGAUAAAAAUGGAUUGAAAGUUUCUCUGAUUACUAAAAGGUAAAUUACUUUUCUGUUCAUUGAAUGUCAGCCUUAUUAAGCUUGUCAUAUAAGUUAUUAAAUCAUUCAUGUCAUACUGCAUAAACAAAUGUUCAUUUCAGAAUUUUAAAGAAAAAUGUAUAUAAAAGAACAAUGAAUUUUAAUAAAUCAAGGGUACGUAAGUCCUUUUUCAUCCAA